RNAcentral lists this unclassified non-coding RNA (271 nucleotides) under Hevea brasiliensis (rubber tree). Lineage: Eukaryota; Viridiplantae; Streptophyta; Magnoliopsida; Malpighiales; Euphorbiaceae. The record is from RNAcentral.
GGGGUGUUGAGCAAUAACCAUCAUGUCCUCCAUUACUCCGUUUGCAAGGAUAAAAACUAGAAACUAGUGGAUUCAAUAAGAUUUUACCUGUUAUGGAACAAUUGAGUUCCACCAAUUAAAGAACAGAUAUGAGUAUCUGUUUCAUGCUCGAUUCAGGGAGCAUCAUGCACAAUCAUCUCAGCAACAUCUGGUUACAUUAACCUUAAUAGCAGCCUUCAAAUACAAUCAGAUAUAACUUUGUCCAUUCAAUUGAUAAAGCGCCAACAAGAAC